UCCAAAGAGUUAGUGUGUUGUUUGAGC
RNAcentral lists this non-coding RNA (27 nucleotides) under Bombyx mori (domestic silkworm). The record is from RNAcentral. Lineage: Eukaryota; Metazoa; Arthropoda; Insecta; Lepidoptera; Bombycidae.